GCGCACCAGGCGCGAAACUUCACACUGUGCGAAAGCACGAUGAGGGAAUCCCAAGUGCUUGCACGUAAGUGUAAGCUGUUUCUCUGUCUAAAACGCAGAGAGAGUAAGGGCUGGGUAAGACGGGUGCCAGCCGCCGCGGUAAUACCUGCAGCUCAAGUGGUGACCGUUAUUAUUGGGCCUAAAACGUCCGUAGCCGGUUUAAUAAAUGCCUGGGUAAAUUGUGUAGCUUAACUAUACGAAUUCCGGGUAGACUGUUAAACUUGAGACCGGGAGAAGUUAGAGGUACUCCUGGGGUAGAGGUGAAAUUCUGUAAUCCUAGGGGGACCACCAGUGGCGAAGGCGUCUAACUAGAACGGGUCUGACGGUGAGGGACGAAGCCCUGGGGCGCAAAACGGGGAUUAGAUACCCGGGUAGU
Molecule: ribosomal RNA, 415 nt
Filed under: uncultured microorganism
Description: bacterial SSU rRNA
Rfam family: Archaeal small subunit ribosomal RNA
Source: RNAcentral